AAAUUGAAGAGUUUGAUCAUGGCUCAGAUUGAACGCUGGCGGCAGGCCUAACACAUGCAAGUCGAACGGUAACAGGAAGCAGCUUGCUGCUUCGCUGACGAGUGGCGGACGGGUGAGUAAUGUCUGGGAAACUGCCUGAUGGAGGGGGAUAACUACUGGAAACGGUGGCUAAUACCGCAUAACGUCGCAAGACCAAAGAGGGGGAUCUUCGGGCCUCUUGCCAUCAGAUGUGCCCAGAUGGGAUUAGCUUGUUGGUGAGGUAACGGCUCACCAAGGCGACGAUCCCUAGCUGGUCUGAGAGGAUGACCAGCCACACUGGAACUGAGACACGGUCCAGACUCCUACGGGAGGCAGCAGUGGGGAAUAUUGCACAAUGGGCGCAAGCCUGAUGCAGCCAUGCCGCGUGUAUGAAGAAGGCCUUCGGGUUGUAAAGUACUUUCAGCGGGGAGGAAGGUGUUGUGGUUAAUAACCGCAGCAAUUGACGUUACCCGCAGAAGAAGCACCGGCUAACUCCGUGCCAGCAGCCGCGGUAAUACGGAGGGUGCAAGCGUUAAUCGGAAUUACUGGGCGUAAAGCGCACGCAGGCGGUCUGUCAAGUCGGAUGUGAAAUCCCCGGGCUCAACCUGGGAACUGCAUUCGAAACUGGCAGGCUUGAGUCUUGUAGAGGGGGGUAGAAUUCCAGGUGUAGCGGUGAAAUGCGUAGAGAUCUGGAGGAAUACCGGUGGCGAAGGCGGCC
RNAcentral lists this ribosomal RNA (736 nucleotides) under Salmonella enterica. RNAcentral's name for it is "bacterial SSU rRNA". It matches the Rfam family "Bacterial small subunit ribosomal RNA", at positions 1 to 726 of the family's 1533-position model. Lineage: Bacteria; Pseudomonadati; Pseudomonadota; Gammaproteobacteria; Enterobacterales; Enterobacteriaceae. The record is from RNAcentral.